AGAGACACUCAUAGCUCACCAGCAGUAGGCGAUAUCACCGAAAAAGCUACUUACAUAAGAUAAAAGUAUUAAAGACGACAGAAGAAGAUAGAAGAAAGCGACAGAAGAAGACAACGACAGAAGAAGACAACGAUGACAGAACAAGAAAGAAGAAGCAGGAAAUAGAGAGACAAAAAAGAAAGAAAAGAAGCAGAAAAAAAAAGCAUGAAAAAGAAAGAAAAAUUAAAGAAAAAUGAAAGAAGAAAGAAAAAAGAAAGCAGAAAGAUAAAGUUAAGAAGAAAGAAAAUAAUGUUUCUAUGCCUAUGUAUGGUAUUGCAGAACCCUUAUAUUGUCUUAUAGAUAAAAGUAUUAAAGACGACAGAAGAAGAUAGAGGAAAGCGACAGUAGAAGACAACGACAGAAGAAGACAAUGAUGACAGAACAAGAAAGAAGAAGCAAGAAAAAGAGAGACAAAAAAAGAAAGAAAAAUGAAAGAAAGAAAGAAAAAUGAAAGAAAGUAUUAAAGACGACAGAAGAUAGAAGAAAGCAUCAGAAGACAACAACAGAAGAAAACAACCGAUGACAGACAGAACAAGAAAGAAGAAGCAAGAUAGAGACAAAAAAGAAGAAGCAGAAAAAAGCAUGAAGAAAAAGAAAGAAGAAUGAAAAAAGAUUAAUGAAAGAAGCAGAAAGAUAAAGGUAAGAAGAUAGAAAAUAAUGUUUAUAUGCCUAUAUAUGGUAUUGCAGAACCCUUAUGUUGUCUUAUAGAUAAAAGUAUUAAAGACGACAGAAGAAGAUAGAGGAAAGCGACAGCAGAAGACAACGACAGAAGACAACGAUGACAGACAGAACAAGAAAGAAGAAGCAAGAAAAAGAGAGACAAAAAAGAAAGAAAGAAAGAAAGAAAGAAAGAAAGAAAGAAAGAAAGAAAAGAAAAAAGCAGAAAAAAAUCAUGAAGAAAAAGAAAGAUAAAGACGAAAGAAGAAGAUAGAAGAAAGCAACAGAAGAAGACAACAACAGAAGACAACGAUGACAGACAGAACAAGAAAGAAGAAGCAAGAAAAAGAGACAAAAAAGAAAGAAGCAGAAAAAAAGCAUGAAGAAAAAGAAAGAAAAAUGAAAGAAAGAAAAUGAAAGAAGAAAAAAGAAAGAUGCAGAAAGAUAAAGGUAAGAAGAGAGAAAAUAAUGUUUCUAUGCCUAUGUAUGGUAUUGCAGAACCCUUAUGUUGUUUUAUUUAUAAAAGUAUUAAAGAUGACAGAAGAAGAUAGAAUUAAGUGACAGAAGAAGACAACGACAUAAGAAGACAACGAUGACAGACAGAACAAGAAAGAAGAAGCAAGAAAAAGAGAGACAAAAAAGACAGAAAGAAAAGCAGAAAAAAAGCAUAAAGAAAAAGCAAGAAAAAUGAAAGCAGAAAGAAAAAUGAAAAAAAGAAAAAAAGAAAGAAGCAGAAAGCUAAAGGUAAGAAGAAAGAAAAUAAUGUUUCUAUGGCUAUGUAUGGUAUUGCAGAACCCUUAUGUUGUCUUAUAGAUAAAAGUAUUAAAGGCGACAGAAGAAGAUAGAGGAAAGCGACAGAAGAAGACAACAACAGAAGACAGCGAUGACAGACAGAACAAGAAAGAAGAAGCAAGAAAAAGAGAGACAAAAAAGAAAAAAAGAAAGAAAGAAAGAAAAGAAAAAGCAGAAAAAAAUCAUGAAGAAAAAGAAAGAAAAAUUAAAGAAGAAAAAUGAAAGAAAAAUGAAAGAAGAAAGAAAGAAAAAGAAAGAAGCAGAAAGAUAAAGGUAAGAAGAAAGAAAAUAAUGUUUCUAUGCCUAUGUAUGGUAUUGCAGAACCCUUAUGUUGUCUUAUUGAUAAAAGUAUUAAAGACGAAAGAAGAUAGAAGAAAGCAACAGAAGAAGACAACAACAGAAGACAACGAUGACAGACAGAACAAGAAAGAAGAAGCAAGAAAAAUAGAGACAAAAAAGAAAGAAGCAGAAAAAAGCAUGAAGAAAAAGAAAGAAAAAUGAAAGAAAGAAAAUGAAAGAAGAAAAAAGAAAGAUGCAGAAAGAUAAAGUAUUAAAGAUGACAGAAUAAGAUAGAAUUAAGUGACAGAAGAAGACAACGACAGAAGAAGACAAUGAUGACAGACAGAACAAGAAAGAAGAAGCAAGAAAAAGAGAGACAAAAAAGACAGAAAGAAAAGAAGCAGAAAAAAAGCAUAAAGAAAAAGAAUGAAAAAUGAAAGAAGAAAAAUGAAAAAAAGAAAAAUAGAAAGAAGCAGAAAGCUAAAGAUAAAAGUAUUAAAGACGACAGAAGAUAGAGGAGAGCGAGAGAAGACAACGACAGAAGAAGACAACGAUGACAGAACAAGAAAGAAGCAAGAAAGAGAGAGACAAAAAAAGAAAGAAAAAUGAAAGAAAGAAAGAAAAAUAAAAGAAAGUAUUAAAGACGACAGAAGAUAGAAGAAAGCGUUAGAAGACAACGACAGAAGAAAACAACCGAUGACGACAGAACAAGAAAGAAUAAGCAAGAUAAAGAGAGACAAAAAAAGAAAGAAGCAGAAAAAACCAGAAGAAAAAGAAAGAAAAAUGAAAGAAGAAAGAAAGAAAAAAGAAAGAAGCAGAAAGAUAAAGUAUUAAAGACGAAAGAAGAUAGAAGAAAGCAACAGAAGAAGACAACGACAGAAGACAACGAUGACAGACAGAACAAGAAAGAAGAAGCAAGAAAAAGAGAGACAAAAAAGAAAGAAGCAGAAAAAAGCAUGAAGAAAAAGAAAGAAAAAUGAAAGGAAGAAAAUAAAAGAAGAAAGAAGCAGAAAGAUAAAGUAUUAAAGAUGACAGAAGAAGAUAGAUCUAAGUGACAGAAGAAGACAACGACAGAAGAAGACAACGAUGACAGACAGAACAAGAAAGAAGAAGCAAGAAAAAAAGAGACAAAAAAAGACAGAAAGAAAAGAAGCAGAAAAAAAGCAUGAAGAAAAAGACAGAAAAAAGGAAAGAAGAAAAAAAGAAAAAUGAAAGAAAGAAAAAAAGAAAGAAGCAGAAAGCCAAAGGUAAGAAGAAAGAAAAUAAUGUUUCUAUGGCUAUGUAUGGUAUUGCAGAACCCUUAUGUUGUCUUAUAGAUAAAAGUAUUAAAGACGACAGAAGAAGAUAGAAGAAAGCGACAGAAGAAGACAACGACAGAAGACAAUGAUGACAGACAGAAAAAGAAAGAAGAAGCAAGAAAAAGAGAGACAAAAAAAGAAAAAUAGAAAGAAAGAAAGAAAGAAAGAAAGGAAAGAAGCAGAAAAAAAGCACGAAGCAAAAGAAAGAAAAAUGAAAGAAAGAAAAUGAAAGAAGAAAGAAAGAUAAAGUUAAGAAGAAAGAAAAUAAUGUUUCUAUGCCUAUGUAUGGUAUUGCAGAACCCUUAUAUUGUCUUAUAGAAAAUUGUUUUACAGAAGACUCUUGUGUGGGUGCACUCUUGUAUUGAGUUGUUUAUAGGAAAAUAUUAAAACAUAACUUUUAUUAUCUGGUUAAUUUAAAAUAAAUCCACACUUACUUAGUCCACCACAAUUAGACAUAAGCUAUAAUGAUACAUAUAUAUGCCUCAGCCCGCCCGCAUCUCGGAGAGAUAACAUAUAUAAUUGAUGUGGCUGAUUAGUGUAAAAGGCUGGAGCGAGUAUGAGCAAAAGCCAGUCGAUUCGUAAAUUGGAAAAAUUGGAAAUGUUCUGGUUAGUCUAUGCUAAUAGACUUAAGGAGGGAUGUAGAUACUAUAGCUCUACACCCUGAUCCUAUCCCACCAGCACAAGCUCAGCUUGUGUUAAUUAGACCUCAAAGGGUCAAUGAACUGGACUGUUGUAGGGAGUAUAGA
Pseudophryne corroboree (corroboree frog) is the source of this 3811-nucleotide long non-coding RNA. RefSeq lists it as uncharacterized. The transcript has 7 exons. The record is from RefSeq and is a predicted model, not a curated record. NCBI's taxonomy places the organism in Eukaryota, Metazoa, Chordata, Amphibia, Anura, Myobatrachidae.